AUAUAUUUUAUUUUAUAUUCAUACAAAUGUCUUCUUCAAUUUUUAUUACAGGCCUGCAAGCUGCCUAGGCAGGAGGAAAUUUUGAAUGAACUCAGCUUUCAGUGACCAGGAGUGGAGACAUAAAAAGAGCUUUUCAGCCUCUCUGGUUACAGAGAUAAGUACAAAAGGGAGUUGUGAAAAGAAAUCUGGGAAUUUCAUCUUGCUUGGUGGAGUACUCUCAGCACAGCUGGCUUAUGGUCCUCCUGUGGUGACCAAGAAUGUGUGAGGAUGAGUGGUCAGUAGGAUGGCAAGAGAACUGACUUCAGGGGCCUCCUUCUGAAGACAGUCAGUGCCUCCAACGAACAUUACUGGAUGGAAGCAUAAUCUAUCCACACCUCAGCAAUAAGAGAUUGUGCCAGUCCGUGACACGCAAAGUUGCAGAGUGCUCCUCCAAGCAUAGCACCAGCCCUCAGUGAUUUCUUAUAGAUAUUUACUUUCACACAUGGCAUAUAGAACAUUAAAAGGGUUUUGAAAAAUCCCUCAGUUUUCAACUUCUGAAGGAUUAUUAACUUCAAAGUCUGAAGAAAUGUCGCCCUUCUAUCUUUGGAAAUGCCAGGAGCCUUUGCAUAUUCUUACCACAGGACCAAGCAACCCCCAGCAGAGAAGAACGAUUACUGCCUCGGUGGC
Molecule: long non-coding RNA, 666 nt
Filed under: Saimiri boliviensis boliviensis (Bolivian squirrel monkey)
Lineage: Eukaryota; Metazoa; Chordata; Mammalia; Primates; Cebidae
Description: lncRNA (ENSSBOG00000036528.1)
Source: RNAcentral